UGCAAGUCGAGCGAACGGACCUCAGAAAGCUUGCUUUCAGAGGCGAGUUAGCGGCGAACGGGUGAGUAACGCGUAAACAAUCUGCCUUCGGGUCGCGGGAUAACAUCGGGAAACUGGUGCUAACACUGGAUAUUAUGACCACAUCGCAUGAUGGGGUUAUGAAACGGGGCUUCGGCUAGGCCUGAAGAUGAGUUUGCGCUCCAUUAGCUAGUUGGUGUGGUAACGGCGCACCAAGGCGACGAUGGGUAGCCGGCCUGAGAGGGUGAUCGGCCACAUUGGAACUGAGACACGGUCCAGACUCCUACGGGAGGCAGCAGUAGGGAAUAUUGCGCAAUGGGCGUCGAGCCUGACGCAGCGACGCCGCGUGAGUGAUGAAGGCCUUCGGGUCGUAAAGCUCUGUCAGCAGGGAAGAAGGUAGAGUAUGUGAAUAAUGUGCUUUACUUGACGGUACCUGCAGAGGAAGCCCCGGCUAAUUACGUGCCAGCAGCCGCGGUAACACGUAAGGGGCAAGCGCUGUCCGGAAUCACUGGGCGUACAGGGAGCGUAGGCGG
RNAcentral lists this ribosomal RNA (551 nucleotides) under uncultured organism. RNAcentral's name for it is "bacterial SSU rRNA". It matches the Rfam family "Bacterial small subunit ribosomal RNA", at positions 56 to 578 of the family's 1533-position model. The record is from RNAcentral.